CUUUACUGUAGUUUGGAAUUGGGUUCGGGCUCUUCUUGCGCAGCCUAGGUGGGAGGCUAUGAAGAUAAACUUUUGGGUUUAUUGGAGCCAACAGUGAGAGACCACUCUAGAGGAGCUAGAAUUCUAAUGGCGUUCCUUGAAGCAGGACGCUUGACAGUUUCAGAUGGGCAGUUUGACUGGGGCGGUCCCCUCCUAAAAGGUAACGGAGGUGUGCAAAGGUUCCCUCAGGCUGGACGGAAAUCAGCCGUAGAGUGUAAAGGCAGAAGGGAGCUUGACUGCAAGACCUACAAGUCGAGCAGGGGCGAAAGCCGGCCUUAGUGAUCCGACGGUUCCGAGUGGAAGGGCCGUCGCUAAACGGAUAAAAGUUA
This 368-nucleotide ribosomal RNA is filed under the name uncultured organism. RNAcentral describes it as "bacterial LSU rRNA". It matches the Rfam family "Bacterial large subunit ribosomal RNA", at positions 2099 to 2465 of the family's 2925-position model. The record is from RNAcentral.